RNAcentral lists this ribosomal RNA (468 nucleotides) under uncultured bacterium. RNAcentral's name for it is "partial 16S ribosomal RNA". It matches the Rfam family "Bacterial small subunit ribosomal RNA", at positions 28 to 507 of the family's 1533-position model. The record is from RNAcentral.
GACGAACGCUGGCGGCGUGCUUAACACAUGCAAGUCGAACGGAAAGGCCCUGCUUUUGUGGGGUGCUCGAGUGGCGAACGGGUGAGUAACACGUGAGUAACCUGCCCUUGACUUUGGGAUAACUUCAGGAAACUGGGGCUAAUACCGGAUAGGAGCUCCUGCUGCAUGGUGGGGGUUGGAAAGUUUCGGCGGUUGGGGAUGGACUCGCGGCUUAUCAGCUUGUUGGUGGGGUAGUGGCUUACCAAGGCUUUGACGGGUAGCCGGCCUGAGAGGGUGACCGGCCACAUUGGGACUGAGAUACGGCCCAGACUCCUACGGGAGGCAGCAGUGGGGAAUAUUGCACAAUGGGCGGAAGCCGGAUGCAGCAACGCCGCGUGCGGGAUGACGGCCUUCGGGUUGUAAACCGCUUUCGCCUGUAACGAAGCGUGAGUGACGGUAAUGGGUAAAGAAGCACCGGCUAACUACGUG